RNAcentral lists this ribosomal RNA (477 nucleotides) under uncultured organism. RNAcentral describes it as "partial 16S ribosomal RNA". It matches the Rfam family "Bacterial small subunit ribosomal RNA", at positions 331 to 799 of the family's 1533-position model. The record is from RNAcentral.
GUACACUCCUACGGGAGGCAGCAGUGGGGAAUAUUGCACAAUGGGCGCAAGCCUGAUGCAGCCAUGCCGCGUGUAUGAAGAAGGCCUUCGGGUUGUAAAGUACUUUCAGCGGGGAGGAAGGCGAUAAGGUUAAUAACCUUGUUGAUUGACGUUACCCGCAGAAGAAGCACCGGCUAACUCCGUGCCAGCAGCCGCGGUAAUACGGAGGGUGCAAGCGUUCAUCGGAAUUACUGGGCGUAAAGCGCACGCAGGCGGUCUGUCAAGUCGGAUGUGAAAUCCCCGGGCUCAACCUGGGAACUGCAUUCGAAACUGGCAGGCUAGAGUCUUGUAGAGGGGGGUAGAAUUCCAGGUGUAGCGGUGAAAUGCGUAGAGAUCUGGAGGAAUACCGGUGGCGAAGGCGGCCCCCUGGACAAAGACUGACGCUCAGGUGCGAAAGCGUGGGGAGCAAACAGGAUUAGAAACCCUUGUAGUCCCAUG